RNAcentral lists this ribosomal RNA (250 nucleotides) under uncultured bacterium. RNAcentral's name for it is "partial 16S ribosomal RNA". It matches the Rfam family "Bacterial small subunit ribosomal RNA", at positions 359 to 611 of the family's 1533-position model. The record is from RNAcentral.
GGAUGAGAUGAGCGCAAGCCUGACAGAGCGACGCCGCGUGCGGGAUGAAGGCCCUCGGGUUGUAAACCGCUGUCACUCGUUAAGAAAGCCUGGGGAAGGCCUCCAGGCUGACGUUAGCGAGAGAGGAAGUCACGGCUAACUUCGUGCCAGCAGCCGCGGUAAGACGAAGGUGACAACCGUUGCUCGGAAUCACUGGGCAUAAAGCGCGCGUAGGUGGCUUGGUAAGUCCAUGGUGAAAUCCCUCGGCUCA